Molecule: long non-coding RNA, 1018 nt
Filed under: Homo sapiens (human)
Lineage: Eukaryota; Metazoa; Chordata; Mammalia; Primates; Hominidae
Description: PCBP1 antisense RNA 1
Source: RNAcentral
ACACUCUCUACAAGGGUAAAGCAAACUGGGAGGUGCUGGUUCUGGCUCCAGAGGGACUGGGGUCUGGGGCCUGUCACCUGGUCCUGCCUGUGUUUCCUGGGAGGAGGACCUGGUUGAUAGAAGAAUUUAUCUCGUAGUCUUAACAUCCACUGUAAUUCCAAACUUUGAGGACGAUAGAGAUCAGUGGGCUUUGACUGCCCAGCAUGCAGUCUCCAUUCUUAGGUGGAGUCUCACUCUGUAGCCCAAGCUGGAGUGGCGUGAUCUCGACUCACUGCAACCUCCGCCUCCUGGGAUCAAGUGAUUCUCGUGCCUCAGCCUCCUGAGUAGCCGGGACUACAGGUCACAGAAUUUUCCACACUCCUUGACAGAGGUGCUUAACCCUUAUCCAUCAGCAUUCUCAGACAGCACCUCCGGUUAGGGACAGUAUCUGACCGUCCGACAUCCCUGCAGCCCCCAUGUGUCACACAGACUCAGCCUCAGGUAGAUGGUUUCCGUAGAUGGUGGCUUUCUUUGGACCCUUGACAUCAACCAGUUACUAUUUGGUCUAGGGGUCUCACCAACGCUGCUCAUCUAGCAGGGCCACACAUAACAAAUAGAAGCAGAGCAAGCCCUGGAACUCCUGCCUGACAGUGACACGACGACAGAAACAUCUUACCAGUCAGAGGACCAUGAGAAAUAGAUUCAAGGAGCAUUCCACGUGCAAGUGAGUCUUGGCCCCAUCUGCCUUUGGAUUUUAGCCGUGAACUGGAAGGUAUUGGAAAGAAGACCCUCAGAAAUAGCUUAAUCAAAAUCCCUGCGUCUGAACCAAGUGCCUUAUUUCUCUGUGGGCCUCAAGCUUCGCUGACAUCUGUGGAGCACACUGUCCUAACAGGAGUGCUGUCUGAUUUCCCAACGCUCUGCAAAACAAACAGCCUGGAAGGGUGGCUGGUGGAAGGUGGUUUUUAGAGAGAGACUUGUAGAUAACAGGAAAGUGAAGGCUGUAAGGAAGGUUGUAAUUAAACAGCACAUGGAAACACAA